UCUGUUUGUCUUAUUCAGAGAGUCCUUCUGGUGCCUUUUCGCAAACUCCAGGCGGGCUACCAUGUGCCUUUUUCUAAGGAGUGGCUUCCGUCUGGCCACUCUAUCAUACAGGCCUGAUUGGUGGAUUGCUGCAGAGAAG
Thalassophryne amazonica is the source of this 139-nucleotide long non-coding RNA. RefSeq lists it as uncharacterized. The transcript has 3 exons. NCBI's taxonomy places the organism in Eukaryota, Metazoa, Chordata, Actinopteri, Batrachoidiformes, Batrachoididae. The record is from RefSeq and is a predicted model, not a curated record.